UUACACAGAGAAGUUUCCUUAACUACUGUUUGUUCUAGAAACUGGAACAACUCAAUCAAUAUCCAGAUUUUAACAACUAUUUGAUUUUUGUUCUAACAAAAUUAAAAUCUGAAGAUGAACCCACAAGAUCCUUGAGUGGUCUCAUCUUGAAGAAUAAUGUGAAAGCACAUUUUCAGAACUUUCCAAAUGGUGUAACAGACUUUAUUAAAAGUGAAUGUUUAAGUAAUAUUGGUGACUCCUCUCCUCUGAUUAGAGCUACUGUUGGUAUUUUGAUUACAACCAUAGCCUCCAAGGGAGAAUUGCAGAAUUGGCCUGACCUCUUACCAAAACUCUGUAGCCUGUUAGAUUCUGAAGAUUACAACACUUGUGAGGGAGCCUUUGGUGCCCUUCAAAAGAUAUGUGAAGAUUCUGCUGAGAUUUAGAUAGCGAUGUUUUAGAUCGUCCUCUCAACAUCAUGAUUCCCAAGUUUUUGCAGUUCUUCAAGCACAGUAGUCCAAAAAUAAGGUCUCAUGCUGUUGCAUGUGUCAAUCAGUUUAUCAUCAGUAGGACUCAAGCUCUGAUGUUGCACAUAGAUUCUUUUAUUGAGAAUCUGUUUGCAUUGGCUGGUGAUGAAGAACCAGAGGUGCGGAAAAAUGUAUGCCGGGCUCUUGUGAUGCUGCUGGAAGUUCGGAUGGAUCGCCUACUUCCUCACAUGCAUAAUAUAGUUGAGUACAUGCUACAGAGGACUCAAGAUCAAGAUGAAAAUGUGGCUUUAGAAGCCUGCGAAUUUUGGCUAACUUUGGCUGAGCAGCCAAUAUGCAAAGAUGUACUCAUAAGGCAUCUUCCUAAGUUGAUUCCUGUGUUGGUGAAUGGCAUGAAGUACUCAGAUAUUGAUAUUAUCCUACUUAAGGGUGACGUUGAAGAAGAUGAAACGAUUCCCGAUAGCGAGCAGGAUAUAAGGCCACGUUUUCAUCGAUCAAGGACAGUAGCUCAGCAGCAUGAUGAAGAUGGAAUUGAAGAGGAAGAUGAUGAUGAUGAUGAAAUGGAUGAUGACGAUACAAUUUCGGACUGGAAUCUCAGAAAAUGUUCUGCUGCUGCCCUAGACGUGCUUGCAAAUGUGUACCGUGAUGAACUGCUGCCACACAUUUUGCCCCUUUUGAAAGAAUUACUUUUUCAUCAUGAGUGGGUUGUUAAAGAGUCAGGCAUCUUGGUUUUAGGAGCCAUUGCUGAAGGUUGCAUGCAGGGCAUGAUUCCGUACCUGCCUGAGCUUAUUCCUCACCUUAUUCAGUGCCUCUCUGAUAAAAAGGCUCUCGUGCGUUCCAUAACAUGCUGGACUCUUAGCCGCUAUGCACACUGGGUAGUCAGCCAGCCGCCAGACACGUACCUGAAGCCGUUAAUGACCGAAUUGCUAAAGCGUAUCCUGGAUAGCAACAAGAGAGUACAAGAAGCUGCCUGCAGUGCCUUUGCUACCCUAGAAGAGGAGGCUUGUACAGAACUUGUUCCUUACCUUGCGUACAUCCUUGACACCCUGGUCUUUGCAUUUAGUAAAUACCAGCAUAAGAACCUGCUCAUUCUUUAUGAUGCCAUAGGAACAUUAGCAGAUUCAGUAGGCCAUCAUUUAAAUAAACCGGAAUAUAUUCAGAUGCUAAUGCCUCCACUUAUUCAGAAAUGGAACAUGUUAAAGGAUGAAGAUAAAGAUCUCUUCCCUUUACUUGAGUGCCUGUCUUCGGUUGCCACCGCCCUGCAGUCUGGCUUCCUUCCCUACUGUGAACCCGUGUAUCAGCGCUGUGUCAACCUGGUACAGAAGACUCUUGCACAAGCCAUGCUGAAUAACGCUCAACCAGAUCAGUAUGAGGCUCCAGAUAAAGAUUUUAUGAUAGUGGCUCUUGAUUUACUGAGUGGCCUGACAGAAGGACUUGGAGGCAACAUUGAACAGCUGGUAGCCCGAAGUAACAUCCUAACGCUGAUGUAUCAAUGCAUGCAGGAUAAGAUGCCAGAAGUUCGACAGAGUUCUUUUGCCCUCUUAGGUGACCUGACAAAAGCUUGCUUUCAGCAUGUUAAGCCUUGUAUAGCCGAUUUCAUGCCAAUAUUGGGAACCAACCUAAAUCCAGAGUUCAUUUCAGUCUGCAACAAUGCCACAUGGGCAACUGGAGAAAUUUCCAUUCAAAUGGGUAUAGAGAUGCAGCCUUAUAUUCCUAUGGUGUUGCACCAGCUGGUAGAGAUCAUUAACAGACCCAACACACCAAAGACGUUGUUAGAGAAUACAGCAAUAACAAUUGGUCGUCUUGGUUACGUUUGUCCUCAAGAGGUGGCCCCCAUGCUACAGCAGUUUAUAAGACCCUGGUGCACCUCUCUGAGAAACAUAAGAGACAAUGAGGAAAAGGAUUCAGCGUUCCGUGGGAUUUGUGCCAUGAUCAGUGUAAAUCCCAGUGGCGUAAUCCAAGUAAGGAUUUUAUAUUUUUUUGUGAUGCUGUUGCAUCAUGGAUUAACCCAAAAGAUGAUCUCAGAGAUAUGUUCUGUAAGAUCCUUCAUGGAUUUAAAAAUCAAGUUGGGGAUGAAAAUUGGAGGCGUUUCUCUGACCAGUUUCCUCUUCCAUUGAAAGAGCGUCUUGCAGCUUUUUAUGGUGUUUAAUCUAAUACACUUAAGCUGCAGUCCCAAAAUUAGGGGUCCUUCAGUCUUGGAGACUAUGAGGGAGCCUCUGCACCCAGGGAAAAUGUUGCCCUUUACAGGGGGGAAGGGUAAACCAGUAGGGAAUGCAGUACAAUCCCAACCCUACUGGGAGGGGUGGGAGGGAGGUGUUGCCGUCACUGUAUUAAGUCGAUGUUGGGAAACGUUUUAACAUCUGGAGCCUUUGUGGGUGGAAAUCUGUCUCCAAUUACAACUCCGAACUGGAUGUGAAGAAGCAAAAAAAAAAAAAUCUAUUUAGUCUGCUCACAAAACAGUACAUUCUGGAAUAUUAUGGGGAAUUGUACCAAAACAAGAACCAUAUAAGUGAUGCAUAGGGAUAAGAAAGAGGAAAAAUUCUAUAGCGCACAAUGAAGGAAACCUAAGAAUGGGGGUUACAAGCAGUAAAGAAACUUUUUUUUUUAAUUUAAAGGUUUUCAUAUAAAUUUUUCCACUUGGUGGGGCCUUGUUUUGCAUGCUGAUGAAGAAUUAAGCAAAACUAAUAGAAUCAAAAUCAGCUUGCCUUCCCAUAGUAGAAGUAGGUUCUUGGAAGUUACAAUUUAAGGUACCCCCCAAAAAAGUUGGAAGUAAAACAAAACAAAUUUAAACAAGCACCCUGUGAAAUGCCAAAUGAGUCACUCCUUUUACCUUUGUGGGCGGGCAGGGAGGGAGGAAUAAAUAGGGUUGGGUGUAUCAAACUAAAGAUGACAUCUUAAUUUUGCAUUAAACAUUAAUGUAGUGGAUAUGAUUUGAUGGUUGUACUUCAUUAGAUUUAAUUUCUAGGCCAAGACGUCAUUUUCAAAGUGCAGUUUAAGGUUCAGGCAUGCAUUCUGGCUCAUAGUGAUUGAAAGUCAUUUAAAUUAGUGGGAAAGUAGCAUGCUUGCAUCACAUAGAGUGAGGUUGGUAUCAUUUACCUGUGUUGCGCCAGUUUGUGUUGCAGUUUACCAAUUCAACAUAGCCCUGCAUUUAAAAUUCCUUUUUAAGAUUUGUGGAUUUUAUUUUUAUUAAGAAUAUAGAUAUAUAAAGUACUGUAGUUUACAGCUAGGCCUUGAAAUAUCUUUUUUAGGAUCUGUUAGGAAUAAGAUUGAUAUUGUAUUGUGUGUAACCUGCACAAUGUGGAAAGCUGAUAUACCUGUGCAAAAUCUUUGCCUCUGUGCUGUCAGUGUGAUGUGCUUUCUGCAUGGUUAUAUACUACUAGUGAUUUUAUCAAAACUUAAAAAUUAAAUUACAUGGUAAAAGAUCUGUAAAAGGCUACAUAAAUGUUAGUUGGCACAUAAAGACAAUUGUAGAAGUUGAAAAAUGAUUGCUAUAUUUCCAUGUUUAUUCCCACUCAACAUAUUGCCUUCUAAGCUUUCUUUUUUUUGUUCAAAGCAUGAUCUUAAAGAUAUGUUUGAGUUAAUGGAUGUAAUGCAGGGUUCCUACACUGUAUUGGCGCAUGUUGGUGGCCCUCUGUGCCCUAGAUGUUUGCACACAGGGUGCAAGUCAAAAGCUACAGAGUGAAAGUUGGUUUGGAUCCUCUUCAUUUCAUUUGUUUAGCUUUUCUGUUAUUUUCCUCUACUUACAUGUAUUCCUGUGAAUAAAUCCUUGUUAAGUUAACCCUUUACUUUUCCUUUCAUGUGUAUUUUCUUAUAUACUGUGAAUGUGAAAACCUAACUGGUACACUUGAUCUUGUGUCCAUAUGAAAGUGCAAGUCUUUAUUAAUUUGGAUUGCCUGAGCAGUGUAUCCCAUGAUGAUGAAGGAAAAUGGAGAGAUUUUUCUUUUUAACUCUGCUGGUCAGAGAUGAAGCCACACCUUUCCAUUUUUCAAUGCUGCAUAUUUAAUCUGCAACAAAAAUGUUAAGCCAUAACAGCCUUUUUAUAUUUUAGUUUGUCACCUUUGCAUUGCAGAAUAAAUACUGAAUAACCAUUUUUAUAAGCAGUUGCUCCUCUUUGCAUGGUUCUAUUCUCUAAAAGUGUUGAAUGAUACUGCCAUUGCACUGAAGUUCGAACUGUGUGUGUGUGAAUUUAUACUGUUUCAAAAAAUUUCAAACGCAUGGGAGCAUGCAGAAAGGUUUUUGUUGUGUGUGUGUGUGUGUUUUUAAACAUGUUCUUUCACCUCCUUUCCUCUACUUUGGCUUUGCAAAUUUCAGUCUGUAGAGCCUGAAAUUAUUUUGUAACAUCCAAUUAAAAAACAAAACAAAACAUAAGCUUUAAACCGUAUGUGGCAUUUUGAUUUCUAGGACCAUCGCUUCAUUGGGAGCUCAAAAUUUGCUUCCUGGUUAGUUUUUAAUUAUUGAUUGAAUAGGGUACCUAUUUUAUCCUUAAACUAUAGUGAUAUUCUGUAGUACUUCACAUACUUUUUAAGAGCUUAAUAUGAAAACUCUUUUAAUAUUCUGAAAUAAGUAAUAUUUUAAAUGAAAGAAAUGGCCAAAUUUUUCUCUAAAACGUAAAACAACUUUCAGUAAAGUUAUCUGGACCUGUGAUUGAAAAUUCUAUAUUGGCUAAAAGCAGUAUUGUCACCUGUCUGAUUAAAAAUUAGUUUCCAAUUAGUCAGAUGAAUAACAUUAUAAGAAUGUGACCCCUUUUUUGGAGUCACUUUGAUGUGUUUUGAAACUUAAAGGAAAUUAUUAGAAAAUAAAAUUAAGUAAAUAUGACUGGCAACCUCAGAUUGGGUUGGGGUUUUUUGUAUAUUUUUCCCCCCUUGAGGUUAUUGUUUCUUCCUAAUUUAUACCAUGUUUCAGAUACAUAGUAUAGAACAGGAAUUUGCAGAAGCCAUUUAAGUUAUCUUUUGAGGUAAGCCCUGAUUUAGCAUUUAUUCUGAUAAAACCUAAUACAUCAUGGGAUAUAUAUACAAAGCAACUUAAGUCUUGUGGUAUAGUCUUAAUAGUUUUGACUGUUGACUGACUGUCUAUGAAAUUGUGAGUUUGUCUUUGUUACAUUCCAGUGUUUCUGCCUCUUGGCAUGCUUAAAGCACGGCUUACUUCAUCUGCUCCUUACACACUCAAAUGCUGUUAGUGUGCCCAGCUACAGAAAUAGCCGCUGCUGAGUGAUGUAGAUUUUCUACUUGAAUAUUUGUAUGUUGUAGGAACCUCAGGAGGUCAGUGUUUACUGUUUUAUAUAUGCCUUCUUUUUCCUGUUUGAGCUUCUCUCUUUGAAGGAUUCUAACAGAACAAAAGCUGCUGAUCAACCUAAGUUGGAAACAGAAAGUGUAUUUAAUGUAAUUUAAAUGCAUGUUUGGCAGUUCCAUGUUAAAGUCCAUUAGCAAGUGAAUUUAGUGCCACAGGUAUUCAUUUAUUCAGGAAAGACUUUUGCUUUUUGUAUUGUCUAAUCUCUUUAAUGACUUCAUAUUGUGUAAAAAAAAAAAUCACUUUUUUAUAUUUUUGGUUGGUUAUUUCCCAGAUAAUCAACUUGUAAAUAAUCUUUAAGAGCCAGUUCUGAUGCUUUACAUUAUUGCUACUUGAUUUUGUUACGCAAGUUAGAUUUCAGAAGGAUAAAUUUCAAAACACUUAACCAAGCCAUUGCAUCUUAAAGCAAAACAAGUAGCACACAUUUUGUAAUUAACAUAUUGAUCAACACUGUGAUUUUUUUGGUUAAGACUUUUUCAUUGAUCUGAAUUGCUUAAAUUGCAUAUAUUGUAAAAUAGGAUCAGAUCUAUAUUUUAAACUAAUUUCAACUGACUUUCCUCUUGAAAUGCUUUGUCUACUCAGUUAUAAAAUAUUCAGAUACAAGUUUUAUCUCAGGUGAAUACUCUUGUAUCAUUUUUGCUUUGGUGACAUACGCUUAUAAAGGGUUGUCAUGUUUGUUUUUUAGUGUCUUUCAUUGAGAAUCUUCCCAUUUAGGCUGGGUUUUUGUUUUUUCCUGUUAUUCUAAUAGACUGGGAUGGUAUAAAGCCCUCCUGUCAAACAUUUUGCUUGCAGAUUUACCUGAAAAUGAGUAAAGUUUGGUUCUCAUUUUCUCCAAAUCUUCAAAAUAGGAAAGUGGACAUUUUUCUCCCCUAUAAAAAAUUAUUGUGCUUAGCAGAAAUGCCAGAAUUAAACUAAUUAAGUCUUAAGCUCUUAGCCUAAAUUGUAAGUCCUUUGCCAUGAGGAAAAAGUGAUUUUUUGCUUCACAUAGCUAAUCUAUAUUAUUCAUAUUGAAUGUAUUAACAGAUAAUGGUGCAAAAACACUCUUCCCAAGAGAAGAGUGUAUCAUGCAUAACUGAAAUUUAAAUCCUUCCUUUGGUAGUACUUUAAAACACACAGCUUUGCUUACUGAAUUAUUUUUGCAAAUUAUACAAGGGUGGAAAACACUAACUGUUGCUAGUACUGUUACAGAAGGUGUAGGCUUGGAACCGCUUAAGCUUAAGAAAACUGUGGUCUUUGAGUUGCUAAAGGCCUGGGAUAACCUAAAUGAAAAAUGAGAUCAAGGAGCUGUGUUGUUAACAAUAUUAUCUAGUACCAUGCAAUAUAGCAUUGUAUACCAACUUAGUGCAUUUUUAUAUUGUAUUAAAUAUGAAGAUACUUCUAAUGCCUCUUUAAAAUUAAUUUUUACAUAAAAGUUGGUUUUAUUCACCUGUACACUUUCCAGGUGACUUGUGACUAAUUUUUUGUCUUGUAUGGAUCUUUACCCCAUUGGCAUUAUUUACAUGUAGAUAAUUCUUUAUGCCUAAUUAUUAUACAUCCUAAUUUUUAAGGUAUACAUUUAAAUUACAGCAACUGUUUAUUGUGGUUUGUAUCUCAGAAUGUAUUGUGUUUAAACAGAUGCAUAAUAGUUGAAUGUAUGCAUAAGCUUGAGAGAAGUUAAAAUGGUGAUUUAUUUUUCUCACCUCUUGUAUAUUUUAAAACCAAGCCAAAUCUGUUUGCCAAGCAGUAUAUCACUAAAUAGAAAACCAGUAGUUUUCGCUUUAUUAACAGUUUUUGUUUAUCUACCAUGGAAUCUACUUAUACUGUGGCUUGGUAUUAUGCAGGAUUAGCUGUUUUACAGGUCUUACAUCUUUCUAAAAGCCUACUAUUAUAACAUGGUUAGCCUAUAAGGCAGUGUUGGUCCCCUUCUAAUACUGGCCUCAUAAAGGGGUUCCACUGUACUUUCCUCAUAUUACUUUGUUGUUGUUUUCCUUUGUGAAUAUGUAACCAAAUUGAGCUUGAGUGAUUUUUACGGAGAUAAUUAUUAGACAAUACUGUAUAAUUAAUUUUGCUUAAUAGACUCAUCUUGUGAGAAAAGAUGUUUAAACGUGUUAAAUGAUUUCACUUCAUAUUUUAAAACAGUUUUACACUUAAUAUGUUAACAUUGGGUGCAAUAAUUUAGUAGUGUUAGCUUUAGUUAUAAAUAACUGGAUCUUUCUGCUGACAACUUAGGUUGUAUGAGUUAUGCUUAAAAGCUUUAAAUCUGAUGUUUCCUGUACCUGCCACACUAUGUUAGAAUGUGUCCUUCAAACAUAUCCUCCUGCAACUUCUCAAACUGUACUAAAUUGAUAUUUCUUGAAGUCUAACUCUGUGCUAACAGAUCUUCAUUUUAAAUAGAAUACGGUUUUAAUUUUUGAUAAGCUGCUGAAUUUUAAAGAGAGUUUUUUGGGGCCACCAAAUAUUUUGGAUCAUGCAGAGAAUAUAUAUUGUACUGUAGUAAUUUUGUAUUUACAUUUGUAUGAUGUGACAUAAUAGAUGUGAAUGUUAAUCACUGCUUGACUAUGUUAAUAAAGUUGUUUAACUAUA
RNA transcript from Carlito syrichta (Philippine tarsier), 8309 nucleotides. It is a transcript of the gene named transportin 1, with no coding region annotated. The record is from RefSeq and is a predicted model, not a curated record. The transcript is spliced from 23 exons. NCBI's taxonomy places the organism in Eukaryota, Metazoa, Chordata, Mammalia, Primates, Tarsiidae.